GCAGCCCACUUGGCAGGGAAAACUGGAACGCGCUCGCUCAUCCUUCGGUGAUUGGAUCCGGCAGCAGGGACACCUGGACUCCAGAUCGAAGCUGCGGAGCUCUCCACCGAAAAGAAGCAACCGCAGUCUACUCAGGGUCAGAAGGAAAAUAAUUGGGUCAGCUGUGGAGAGGUCUUGCGGAGGACGCAGGUGGGCCACAAUCACCCGGAACUCCGGUUCCUGAGGACUUGACACCUCCGUCCUGCAGGGCAAAACACUCCGGAACACAGAGGGUAAAACCCGUCCUGGCAAUCAGAAGGAAAGAACUCACCAUUGUGCUGGCAUUCUGAGUCUGCUCAUCACCCCGAGUUGCAUUAAGGGUGGAUGAGGACUGAGCUGCAAUUUGACCUUGACCCUAAAUCAUACACUAACCUCUAACCGGACCCUGACCUUGACCCAUCGUGUUGGGCAAAAUAACACACGCACUCCCCAAUGUAUCCAUGUGUUAAGCCGAGAAUAUGUUGCCUCAUGGGUUGGAUAUGGUUUAAGUGUGUCCCCCCAAAAUGUCUGUGUGCUAGAAGCUUGGUCCCCAUUGUGGCUGUACUGAGGUGGUAGAAGCUGUAAGAAGUAGCCCUGAUGAGGCUAGAAAGACAGCUCAGCGGUUAAGAGCUGCUCUUCCAGAGGAUCCCACCCCCUCUUGCGGCUUCCCUGAGCACCAGACACCCAGCAGCUUGGUGGGCAGACAUAUGCAUGCAGGCAAAGCGCCCACACACAUAAAAAUAAAUUAAAAAGUAGGGCCCAAUAAGUAAGUUAAUCCAUGCAUCACAACUGCAUUCCUGCACAAAAGUGUGUGCGCCCAAGACACACACACACACACACACACACACACACACACACACACACACACGCAGAGAGCUAGUGGAAGCUAGUAGAAGGUGCUCAGAUCAUUGGAGUUGCCUUCAUCAUCAAUGUAGCUCUUGAGAUAAAGUUGUUUUUGUUUUUUGGUUUUGUUUUGUUUGUUUUUUAAGUCUGGCCCCUCAGUUCUCUGCGCUUCCUGAUCACGGGAUCUCUCUGUCUCCUCUCUCACCAUGAAGUCCUCACCAGAGAACUAACGCAUGAUAGCACUUGAUAUUGGACCUUUGGCCUCCAAAUGAGAGCUAAAUAAAC
Molecule: non-coding RNA, 1146 nt
Organism: Peromyscus maniculatus bairdii (prairie deer mouse)
Lineage: Eukaryota; Metazoa; Chordata; Mammalia; Rodentia; Cricetidae
Source: RefSeq, a predicted model, not a curated record